Molecule: ribosomal RNA, 753 nt
Filed under: uncultured Mycoplasma sp.
Lineage: Bacteria; Bacillati; Mycoplasmatota; Mollicutes; Mycoplasmatales; Mycoplasmataceae
Description: bacterial SSU rRNA
Rfam family: Bacterial small subunit ribosomal RNA
Source: RNAcentral
GAUGAACGCUGGCUGUGUGCCUAAUACAUGCAUGUCGAGCGGAAGUAGCAAUACUUUAGCGGCGAAUGGGUGAGUAACACGUGCUUAAUCUACCUCUUAGAUUGGAGUACCUAAUGGAAACAUUGGUUAAUGCCGGAUACGCAUGGAGUCGCAUGACUCCGUUGUGAAAGGGGCCUUUAAAGCUCCACUAAGAGAUGAGGGUGCGGAACAUUAGCUAGUUGGUGAGGUAACGGCCCACCAAGGCUGUGAUGUUUAGCCGGGUCGAGAGACUGAACGGCCACAUUGGGACUGAGAUACGGCCCAAACUCCUACGGGAGGCAGCAGUAGGGAAUAUUCCACAAUGAGCGAAAGCUUGAUGGAGCGACACAGCGUGCACGAUGAAGGUCUUAUGGAUUGUAAAGUGCUGUUGCAAGGGAAGAAAAAGUAGUUGAGGAAAUGCUUCUACAUUGACGGUACCUUGUUAGAAAGCGAUGGCUAACUAUGUGCCAGCAGCCGCGGUAAUACAUAGGUCGCAAGCGUUAUCCGGAAUUAUUGGGCGUAAAGCGUUCGUAGGCUGUUUAUUAAGUCUGGAGUCAAAUCCCAGGGCUCAACCCUGGCUCGCUUUGGAUACUGGUAAACUAGAGUUGGAUAGAGGUAAGCGGAAUUCCAUGUGAAGCGGUGAAAUGCGUAGAUAUAUGGAAGAACACCAAAGGCGAAGGCAGCUUACUGGGUUUAUACUGACGCUGAGGAACGAAAGCGUGGGGAGCAAACAGG